Non-coding RNA from Nylanderia fulva, 2192 nucleotides. The record is from RefSeq and is a predicted model, not a curated record. Lineage: Eukaryota; Metazoa; Arthropoda; Insecta; Hymenoptera; Formicidae.
UAUUGCAUACAAAAAAAUAAUAUUCUUGCGAUAAGAUAUUAAUUAAAUUCCGCGCACUUGUCGUUCGUGACGGGCGGCGAGUUCUAUAGGACGCCGAAAUCCAAAGCGAUCGAAAUCGGAUAUUACAGUCGUAAAGAUAAGGUACAGCGAGAGUACGGCUGCUGACACGUGGCGCGGUGUUAUGAUUCCGCGACCUUUUGGAUGACCCGACGCGGAGAUAUCUGGUGACACGCGGAACCCGGGAGUAAACUUGUUCGUAUACGUGGCGAAUAAUUAUUCACGCAAGAGACUUACUACGGUCCGUGCGAAGUGAUUGAUUCUAAUAACCGCGGCACUACACAAUCUCCCGUAAACUAUAAUAUGUUCCGCGCGAUUUAUUCCUGAUAUCUAUUCCGCGGGACGUUCUUCGCGCAAGUACACAAAAUAGCUAAUAUAUCCGAAUGAUCGCAGGCGCGAAAAAGAAUACGCUAUUGUAAGAAAUGAUUAUUUAAGCGAAUUAUUAUUUAAUAAACAUCUAAGGAUGACCGUUAUAAAUUUAAACUGAUCUUAGCGAAAGCGCGGAUAUGCGAAGGAUCAAAGCAAGGAUGUUUCAAAGUCACUAUAGAAAAAUACUGAGAUUACUGUUAAAGACAAAGACUACUUUUAUUUUUAAAGACUCUUGUAUACAAAAUUUUCGACUGCUUAGGUAUACUUCUUGAAAGAGAGUACCGGGUUUCUCAGCUCGCUUGCUUAAAUGCCCUUUGUCUCUCCCGCGCGCGCUGCUUUAGUUUGCGCCCUUUUCGCUCGGCGCCGAGGGCAGCAGUUACUGGUGACAGUUAGCUGUCCGAUUGGCGCGUGCGCAAUCAGCCGAUCGGCUGAUUCCUUUCAGUAUGAUUAUGAGAUGAAUCGGUACCUUUACUCUACUUAUAGUACAUAUAUGGUGUCGUCCCGCAUAUAUGGUAUCCCGCAGAUGGCCCGGGCGUAUAUCCCGGUGCAGGUAGUAACAACUACAUAGCAAUACCAGUUGCUUGGAACCAAGGAAACAUAUGGACAUAAGGAGACAUCUCCCGGCGCGCCACGUUAUUUCGUAGCAUCGCGAAGGAACUGAAGUCUCAUGGGGAAGUAACACUUGCGCGCCAAUGACCGUUACGCGGAUAGUCACGAAAGCUCAGUAUCUCAAGCGAUUGAGGGGUAUGGCCGCCCUUCCCCUAGAAUUUGAAUCGACGGUUUCGAUGAAAUUGAGCUUUUCGGACACUUUCUCCGAUAUUCGGGCACUCCAGGAGAUGCUGGAGCAGUCGCGGAACAUCUCCUCGAGCGGAUGAUGUCGAAAUACCGCACGAGAGCCGCCGUAUAUGUCGAAAUAUAGUCCAAAUAUAGUCGAAAACGAUAUCCCAAACGAUAGUCCCUUUCCCCUUUCCCCUCGCCCAGCUCGCUAACUCCGCGAAUUCGCGAGGUUUCGAGACUCCCGGGGCCCCGUCGACGCCGGGAUACCCUUCGAGACGAUGAAGAAUCCUCGCGAGGCUCUCGGGCGGGCGAGUAACGCCGAAAUAUGCGCGAAAAUCACGGCGGAACGUCUCAAGCGAGAAACGUCCUCCAUCCCUUUCCCACCAACCUCCAAUUCGCGAUGUUCCGAGGCUCCUGGGUCCCCAUCGACGUCCGGAUGCUCUUCGAGCAUAUUAUUCGGCCCACCUUCUUUGAGACCUAAUCAAUUCAAUCUUUGAUUUGCUUGUCGGUAGUCCUCGCAGGCGAAAAGCUUUCUUCAAUGUGAUCAUGGUUACUCGCUGCCUACUUCCAUCUUAAAUUUUCAAAAUUUUCAUCUCAAAAUUUUCAAAUUUUCGAAAAGCCAAGAGUCGUUUUCGUACCCCACUUUUGAUAAAUACUGUGGGCAAUUUAUCGUCAUGUAUAGAGAGAGCGAGCAAGUUUUCGCGCCGAUAUGUGAGAUCGCGAGCGACCGUUCCUCGUCACCGUGAUUCGGUUAGUCAGGAUAUAAAGGUCCGGAACGCCAACGUUUAAUAAAAAGAGUAUAUUGCGAGAUGUAUAUUUAUUGUGAAUUCUUGUUCGUUUGGUGUUUAGAGAGAGAAGGCCUCGUUUCCCCGAAAGUCGAGAUUUUUAUAUGCGCGUUUUACAUAGUAUACAUAUAAGUAGAACCCAAGAACUUCGAGUGUGGAGCGGGGCAAGGAAGACCUGUGACAUAAAAUAUAUAAAAUAUAAUA